GAGCGUCACGACGUGCUGGGGUGUCGC
Molecule: small RNA, 27 nt
Filed under: Bombyx mori (domestic silkworm)
Lineage: Eukaryota; Metazoa; Arthropoda; Insecta; Lepidoptera; Bombycidae
Description: ovarian small RNA-15839
Source: RNAcentral